CAGUCGCCGCGGUAAUACGUAGGGUGCGAGCGUUAAUCGGAAUUACUGGGCGUAAAGCGGGCGCAGACGGUUACUUAAGCAGGAUGUGAAAUCCCCGGGCUCAACCUGGGAACUGCGUUCUGAACUGGGUGACUAGAGUGUGUCAGAGGGAGGUAGAAUUCCACGUGUAGCAGUGAAGUGCGUAGAGAUGUGGAGGAAUACCGAUGGCGAAGGCAGCCUCCUGGGAUAACACUGACGUUCAUGCCCGAAAGCGUGGGUAGCAAACAGGAUUAGAGACCCGGGUAGUCCCUGUCUCUUAUAC
RNAcentral lists this ribosomal RNA (301 nucleotides) under uncultured bacterium. Its description in RNAcentral is "partial 16S ribosomal RNA". It matches the Rfam family "Bacterial small subunit ribosomal RNA", at positions 509 to 807 of the family's 1533-position model. The record is from RNAcentral.